AGGAUCAAGCUAGAGGGAGGACUUGCAAAGAAAAAGGAGGACAGACCUACAGAGAGGAAGAAGUGAGCUUGAGAGGAAGGGAGGGGUCUCUGCUUCUCUGCGUCUACAUCUGCGUGUGCUUCUCUAGGUCUAAGUCUAUGUGAAAGGAAAAAGGAGGGGAGCUUUAAAGAAAAACUAGGGCUUUUAUACACAGGGCAGGCAAAACGACACAAUAUGCAUAUAAACGUUCGGUCAGUUUGGUUAGUUUUUUUCCUAAACUAAGUGGACUGAUCCAAAAAACUGACAAUUUUUUAAAAUUAUAACUGAAACUGAAUCAGUAGACUUAAAAACCAAAUGAGAUUGAUUUAGUUUAAUUUUUUGGUUAAAACAGUCAACGCUCAACCCUGCUAGGACUCUAAGGUGCUUCAUAACUCUUUU
RNAcentral lists this unclassified non-coding RNA (417 nucleotides) under Hevea brasiliensis (rubber tree). The record is from RNAcentral. Lineage: Eukaryota; Viridiplantae; Streptophyta; Magnoliopsida; Malpighiales; Euphorbiaceae.